CCUACGGGAGGCAGCAGUGAGGAAUAUUGGUCAAUGGUCGGGAGACUGAACCAGCCAAGCUGCGUGAGGGAGGAAGGUCCAGCGUAUCGUAAACCUCUUUUGUCAGGGAACAAAGCCUGGGACGCGUCCCCGGCUGCGUGUACCUUACGAAAAAGCAUCGGCUAACUCCGUGCCAGCAGCCGCGGUAAUACGGAGGAUGCGAGCGUUAUCCGGAUUUAUUGGGGUUAAAGGGUGCGCAGGCGGGCUGUUAAGUCAGCGGUCAAAGCCCGGGGCUCAACCCCGGCCCGCCGUUGAAACUGGAAGUCUCGAGUUGGCAACAAGCAGGCGGAAUGCGCGGUGUAGCGGUGAAAUGCAUAGAUAUCGCGAAGAACUCCGAUUGCGAAGGCAGCAUGCCGGGUCGAGACUGACGCUGAGGCACGAAAGCGUGGGUAUCGAACAGGAUUAGAUACCCUAGUAGUC
RNAcentral lists this ribosomal RNA (459 nucleotides) under uncultured bacterium. Its description in RNAcentral is "partial 16S ribosomal RNA". It matches the Rfam family "Bacterial small subunit ribosomal RNA", at positions 338 to 795 of the family's 1533-position model. The record is from RNAcentral.